CGAGGGGCAGCAUGGUCUUAGCUGUGCUAAGGCUGAUGGCGACCGGCGCACGGGUGAGUAACACGUAUCCAACCUGCCGUCUACUCUUGGCCAGCCUUCUGAAAGGAAGAUUAAUCCAGGAUGGGAUCAUGAGUUCACAUGUCCGCAUGAUUAAAGGUAUUUUCCGGUAGACGAUGGGGAUGCGUUCCAUUAGAUAGUAGGCGGGGUAACGGCCCACCUAGUCAACGAUGGAUAGGGGUUCUGAGAGGAAGGUCCCCCACAUUGGAACUGAGACACGGUCCAAACUCCUACGGGAGGCAGCAGUGAGGAAUAUUGGUCAAUGGGCGAUGGCCUGAACCAGCCAAGUAGCGUGAAGGAUGACUGCCCUAUGGGUUGUAAACUUCUUUUAUAAAGGAAUAAAGUCGGGUAUGCAUACCCGUUUGCAUGUACUUUAUGAAUAAGGAUCGGCUAACUCCGUGCCAGCAGCCGCGGUAAUACGGAGGAUCCGAGCGUUAUCCGGAUUUAUUGGGUUUAAAGGGAGCGUAGAUGGAUGUUUAAGUCAGUUGUGAAAGUUUGCGGCUCAACCGUAAAAUUGCAGUUGAUACUGGAUGUCUUGAGUGCAGUUGAGGCAGGCGGAAUUCGUGGUGUAGCGGUGAAAUGCUUAGAUAUCACGAAGAACUCCGAUUGCGAAGGCAGCCUGCUAAGCUGCAACUGACAUUGAGGCUCGAAAGUGUGGGUAUCAAACAGGAUUAGAUACCCUGGUAGUCCACACGGUAAACGAUGAAUACUCGCUGUUUGCGAUAUACGGCAAGCGGCCAAGCGAAAGCGUUAAGUAUUCCACCUGGGGAGUACGCCGGCAACGGUGAAACUCAAAGGAAUUGACGGGGGCCCGCACAAGCGGAGGAACAUGUGGUUUAAUUCGAUGAUACGCGAGGAACCUUACCCGGGCUUAAAUUGCACUCGAAUGAUCC
This 950-nucleotide ribosomal RNA is filed under the name Phocaeicola dorei. RNAcentral describes it as "bacterial SSU rRNA". It matches the Rfam family "Bacterial small subunit ribosomal RNA", at positions 63 to 1001 of the family's 1533-position model. Lineage: Bacteria; Pseudomonadati; Bacteroidota; Bacteroidia; Bacteroidales; Bacteroidaceae. The record is from RNAcentral.